AAGGAAUAAAAAGAUUUUUAAAGACAUUAGACCACACUUGGAUAGCACUAUGAGACGAAUCAAAAUACACGUAUAUAAAAUUACGUUUUUUUUGUAUCUGCAUGUUUCAAUUCACUUUGAGUUUUCAGCAUUGGGUUCUUAGACCGUGUCGUUUGUACAUCUUCUCAUUUUGCUAGCCCAAAUAUGCCCGAGGUAUUUGUAUAUGUGUCAUGAUUCUUAUUUGUCCAAAAAUGCCUGGUGUACUUGUGUAUGAAG
This 255-nucleotide long non-coding RNA is filed under the name Olea europaea subsp. europaea. The record is from RNAcentral. Lineage: Eukaryota; Viridiplantae; Streptophyta; Magnoliopsida; Lamiales; Oleaceae.